RNAcentral lists this ribosomal RNA (486 nucleotides) under uncultured bacterium. Its description in RNAcentral is "bacterial SSU rRNA". It matches the Rfam family "Bacterial small subunit ribosomal RNA", at positions 16 to 507 of the family's 1533-position model. The record is from RNAcentral.
AUCCUGGCUCAGGAUGAACGCUGGCGGCGUGCUUAACACAUGCAAGUCGAACGAAGCACUUUGAUCGAUUUCUUCGGAUUUCAAGAUACCGAGUGGCGGACGGGUGAGUAACGCGUGGGUAACCUGCCUCAUACAGGGGGAUAACGGUUAGAAAUGACUGCUAAUACCGCAUAAGCGCACAGUACCACAUGGUACGGUGUGAAAAACUCCGGUGGUAUAAGAUGGACCCGCGUCUGAUUAGCUAGUUGGUGAGAUAACAGCCCACCAAGGCGACGAUCAGUAGCCGACCUGAGAGGGUGACCGGCCACAUUGGGACUGAGACACGGCCCAGACUCCUACGGGAGGCAGCAGUGGGGAAUAUUGCACAAUGGAGGAAACUCUGAUGCAGCGACGCCGCGUGAGUGAAGAAGUAAUUCGUUAUGUAAAGCUCUAUCAGCAGGGAAGAUAGUGACGGUACCUGACUAAGAAGCUCCGGCUAAAUACGUG